Molecule: ribosomal RNA, 431 nt
Filed under: uncultured bacterium
Lineage: Bacteria
Description: bacterial SSU rRNA
Rfam family: Bacterial small subunit ribosomal RNA
Source: RNAcentral
GGCGACCGGCGCGACGGUGAGUAACGCGUACUCCAACCUCCCAUAGUAGAGGAUACGCCGGACGAAAGUCGGAUUAAUACUCUAUGUGUACAACGAGGACAUCUGAAUUGUACCAAAGAUUUAUCGCUAUGGGAUGGGGGAUGCGUCUGAUUAGGUAGUCGGCGGGGUAACGGCCCACCGAGCCGACGAUCAGUAGGGGUUCUGAGAGGAAGGUCCCCCACAUUGGUACUGAGACACGGACCAAACUCCUACGGGAGGCAGCAGUGAGGAAUAUUGGUCAAUGGGCGGGAGCCUGAACCAGCCAAGUAGCGUGCAAGGAUGACUGCCCUAUGGGUUGUAAACUGCUUUUAUGCGGGAAUAAAGUCAGGUACGCGUACCUGUUUGUAUGUACCGCAUGAAUAAGGACCGGCUAAUUCCGUGCCAGCCGCGGC